GGUCCUCCGCGCGACAUUUAUGGCACAACCCCCGCCAACGUUUCCUGAUUGGUCGAUCUUAGCACCGAGAUUCGAAAGUAAGAUGGUAGGUCGUCGUGACGUCACAAUUUAGCCAUCCGCAUUUAGGAAAAUCAGAAAAGCUGUUAGAUAUGUUUCUUCCUACUCUCGUGGGAGUCUAUUUUCGUUGACCCGUAUAUGCCAGUGGUUCGUGAAAACUAGCGCGUUAGUCCUGUUAGAGUAACACCUCCAUUUCUUUUUAAUGCCAACUAUGCACUCGUAUGCUGCGUUUUGAAGAAUCAUUGAGCAUUAGCAAGGAAAAAAUAACAUGAACGUAAAUUAAAUUUUUAUUUAAAACACUAAAAACACACACGCCAGACACGUAUAUGUGUAUAGAAAGUCACAAGUUUAUUUCGUAUUUUUAUAACAAGCGAAUCAUCAAUCUUACUAGUUUGCUAUAGCACCUAUAAACGUUUAGUAAAAAUAGCACGACCAGUCAAGACGAUUAUUCGAUCGAUGAAUUUAAAUUGUGAUUCGAUCCUUAUUGAUCCAUAGAUCUAUUUAUUCUUGAAAGAACACUCGUGAGAGAAAACUCGUGAUAAUUAUACGAUUUGGAUUUGUUACAGUACAAUAUUACGGAUUAGUUUAGAUGUUUACACCGAGAGUGUAAUUUCAACUGCGUCAAAUUUAAUAUAUUCAUUCUGAACUUUA
This 708-nucleotide long non-coding RNA is filed under the name Polistes fuscatus (common paper wasp). Its description in RNAcentral is "uncharacterized LOC122518518". Lineage: Eukaryota; Metazoa; Arthropoda; Insecta; Hymenoptera; Vespidae. The record is from RNAcentral.